This 84-nucleotide transfer RNA is filed under the name Thermoplasmata archaeon. RNAcentral describes it as "tRNA-Ser". It matches the Rfam family "tRNA". From Rfam's summary of the family: Transfer RNA (tRNA) molecules are approximately 80 nucleotides in length. Their secondary structure includes four short double-helical elements and three loops (D, anti-codon, and T loops). The record is from RNAcentral. Lineage: Archaea; Methanobacteriati; Thermoplasmatota; Thermoplasmata. RNAcentral also lists the same sequence under 3 other names.
GCCGGGGUUGCCGAGACUGGAAAGGCGCGAGCCUGGAGAGCUCGUUCUCGUAAGAGAUCGAGGGUUCAAAUCCCUUCCCCGGCG